Molecule: ribosomal RNA, 253 nt
Filed under: uncultured bacterium
Lineage: Bacteria
Description: partial 16S ribosomal RNA
Rfam family: Bacterial small subunit ribosomal RNA
Source: RNAcentral
UACGUAGGGUGCGAGCGUUAAUCGGAAUUACUGGGCGUAAAGGGUGCGCAGGCGGAUAUAUAAGUUAGAAGUGAAAUCCCUGGGCUUAACCUGGGAACUGCUUUUAAGACUGUAUGUCUAGAGUAUGUCAGAGGGGGGUAGAAUUCCAAGUGUAGCAGUGAAAUGCGUAGAGAUUUGGAGGAAUACCGAUGGCGAAGGCAGCCCCCUGGGAUAAUACUGACGCUCAGGCACGAAAGCGUGGGGAGCAAACAGG